AAAUCCCUGUUUGAUGUGGAAAGCAUAUCAUUGGACAAUGUUGUGGUAUUUCACCUUUCUGAUAGGUCCAUCCACAAACUAGCAGAGUUUUCAGGCAGCGACAAUUAACACCCCGGAGCAUUGGGCCGGCCAUGGAUGCGGAGAUGCUGCGACCAACACGACCACCAAGGUCUAACGUGGUGGCAGAAAAGCGGGUAAUGGCGGGAGCACACCGAGACAAAGUCGGUGAGGGCGAGGGCAAGGACAGAGG
Long non-coding RNA from Lolium rigidum, 250 nucleotides. RefSeq lists it as uncharacterized. Lineage: Eukaryota; Viridiplantae; Streptophyta; Magnoliopsida; Poales; Poaceae. The transcript is spliced from 3 exons. The record is from RefSeq and is a predicted model, not a curated record.